UACGUAGGUGGCUAGCGUUGUCCGGAAUCAUUGGGCGUAAAGGGUUCGCAGGCGGAAAUGCAAGUCAGAUUUAAAAGGCAGUAGCUCAACUACUGUAAGCAUUGGAAACUGCAUAUCUUGAGAAGAGUAGAGGUAAGUGGAAUUUUUAGUGUAGCGGUGAAAUGCGUAGAUAUUAAAAAGAAUACCGGUGGCGAAGGCGACUUACUGGGCUGAUUCUGACGCUGAGGCACGAAAGCGUGGGGAGCAAACGGG
RNAcentral lists this ribosomal RNA (252 nucleotides) under uncultured bacterium. RNAcentral's name for it is "partial 16S ribosomal RNA". It matches the Rfam family "Bacterial small subunit ribosomal RNA", at positions 524 to 776 of the family's 1533-position model. The record is from RNAcentral.